AAUAGAUACCCGGGUAGUCCACCCCGUAAACGUUGGGAACUAGUUGUGGGGUCCUUUCCACGGAUUCCGUGACGCAGCUAACGCAUUAAGUUCCCCGCCUGGGGGAGUACGGCCGCAAGGCUAAAACUCAAAGGAAUUGACGGGGACCCGCACAAGCGGCGGAGCAUGCGGAUUAAUUCGAUGCAACGCGAAGAACCUUACCAAGGCUUGACAUACACGAGAACACUCUGGAAACAGGGGACUCUUUGGACACUCGUGAACAGGUGGUGCAUGGUUGUCGUCAGCUCGUGUCGUGAGAUGUUGGGUUAAGUCCCGCAACGAGCGCAACCCUCGUUCUAUGUUGCCAGCACGUUAUGGUGGGAACUCAUGGGAUACUGCCGGGGUCAACUCGGAGGAAGGUGGGGAUGACGUCAAAUCAUCAUGCCCCUUAUGUCUUGGGCUUCACGCAUGCUACAAUGGCCGGUACAAAGGGCUGCAAUACCGUGAGGUGGAGCGAAUCCCAAAAAGCCGGUCCCAGUUCGGAUUGAGGUCUGCAACUCGA
This 541-nucleotide ribosomal RNA is filed under the name uncultured bacterium. RNAcentral's name for it is "bacterial SSU rRNA". It matches the Rfam family "Bacterial small subunit ribosomal RNA", at positions 777 to 1315 of the family's 1533-position model. The record is from RNAcentral.